This 475-nucleotide ribosomal RNA is filed under the name Corallococcus coralloides. RNAcentral's name for it is "bacterial SSU rRNA". It matches the Rfam family "Bacterial small subunit ribosomal RNA", at positions 421 to 889 of the family's 1533-position model. Lineage: Bacteria; Pseudomonadati; Myxococcota; Myxococcia; Myxococcales; Myxococcaceae. The record is from RNAcentral.
GGUUGUAAACUGCUUUUGUACGGAACGAAAAGCCUCUUUCUAAUAAAGAGAGGUCAUGACGGUACCGUAAGAAUAAGCACCGGCUAACUACGUGCCAGCAGCCGCGGUAAUACGUAGGGUGCAAGCGUUAAUCGGAAUUACUGGGCGUAAAGCGUGCGCAGGCGGUAAUGUAAGACAGAUGUGAAAUCCCCGGGCUCAACCUGGGAACUGCAUUUGUGACUGCAUUGCUGGAGUGCGGCAGAGGGGGAUGGAAUUCCGCGUGUAGCAGUGAAAUGCGUAGAUAUGCGGAGGAACACCGAUGGCGAAGGCAAUCCCCUGGGCCUGCACUGACGCUCAUGCACGAAAGCGUGGGGAGCAAACAGGAUUAGAUACCCUGGUAGUCCACGCCCUAAACGAUGUCAACUGGAUGUUGGGUCUUCACUGACUCAGUAACGAAGCUAACGCGUGAAGUUGACCGCCUGGGGAGUACGGCCGC